GACGAACGCUGGCGGCGUGCUUAACACAUGCAAGUCGAACGGAAAGGCCCUGCUUUUGUGGGGUGCUCGAGUGGCGAACGGGUGAGUAACACGUGAGUAACCUGCCCUUGACUUUGGGAUAACUUCAGGAAACUGGGGCUAAUACCGGAUAGGAGCUCCUGCUGCAUGGUGGGGGUUGGAAAGUUUCGGCGGUUGGGGAUGGACUCGCGGCUUAUCAGCUUGUUGGUGGGGUAGUGGCUUACCAAGGCUUUGACGGGUAGCCGGCCUGAGAGGGUGACCGGCCACAUUGGGACUGAGAUACGGCCCAGACUCCUACGGGACGCAGCAGUGGGGAAUAUUGCACAAUGGGCGGAAGCCUGAUGCAGCAACGCCGCGUGCGGGAUGACGGCCUUCGGGUUGUAAACCGCUUUCGCAUGUGACGAAGCGUGAGUGACGGUAAUGGGUAAAGAAGCACCGGCUAACUACGUG
This 468-nucleotide ribosomal RNA is filed under the name uncultured bacterium. RNAcentral describes it as "partial 16S ribosomal RNA". It matches the Rfam family "Bacterial small subunit ribosomal RNA", at positions 28 to 507 of the family's 1533-position model. The record is from RNAcentral.